Non-coding RNA from Pelobates cultripes (western spadefoot toad), 240 nucleotides. Lineage: Eukaryota; Metazoa; Chordata; Amphibia; Anura; Pelobatidae. The record is from the annotation of a GenBank genome assembly.
CUUUAAAUGAUUGUGUCCUAAUAAGAGGACCUGAUGGUGUGACAGCAAGUACCUUCUUCAAACUGUGCUGUCAAUUUACGUCUCAUUCUUUUUCUGUACUCUGGUCUGACAAACUAAAUAAAAUAUUGAAAACUCACACAGUUGAUCACUACAUAUACUAUUUAAUUAAUGAAUCAUACCCUCUGGUGCAUCACACCCAAUGGUGAUGACAAAUCUUCCACACAUGUAGUGAACUUUGAU